Long non-coding RNA from Aquila chrysaetos chrysaetos, 1835 nucleotides. RefSeq lists it as uncharacterized. Lineage: Eukaryota; Metazoa; Chordata; Aves; Accipitriformes; Accipitridae. The record is from RefSeq and is a predicted model, not a curated record. The transcript is spliced from 3 exons.
CCAGCUGAAGGCAUGUGGCUGUGUGUGCCGCCACCUCACCCUUGACAGCUUGUGGACAUUUUCUAUUUUUGGCCACAUGCUCCAGCUGUUCCCCUUCCAGCUCCACUGCACCUUUAACCCAGUACUGAGCUAAAGGAUAGGAAAGGAUUAGCAAGGUCUGCUGACCAUGAGGGCUGUGCUUUGAUACCUGCAGUUACUUUUAAAAGCGUUUCUCCUCUGUGUGCCAGCACGGAGUUCACAGCUUCUGUUUGUGCCACUAUGGUCUAUCAAUGUAGGAAAGCGGGACCUGUAGGCCUAGAGAGCUCUGUUGCUGUCUGGAGGUGCGGGGAACCAGGUAAGUGUAGAAGCAUUAUCUGAAAAUCAGCUAAAUCUGUAGUCCCUGAUGCUUGACCUACGGUGCAGGGAGAGGCUAGUUGUUCAUUUUCCUUUGGUCAAAAAGAAAAGAACUUUUAAUGUCAAGGCUGAUUAGGCAGCUGUGAGUAAUUGAAGGAAGUGCUAUUGUGUUUAAGAUCCUGGGAAAGUAAAUAUGAAAAAAAAGGCGGGGGGGGGGGGAAUCAUCCUCAGCUGUAAGGAAGACAGGUUAUUCAUGUUGGAGUUUGGUAAAUGGUCCUAGAUAAAUGCCAGGGAGGUACCAGCUGCUUUUCUCAUUACAUCCUGGUGGGGAGGCUGGGGAGUGAUGAAGUGGCCAGGGGGGCCAAGUACAAGAGAGGAUCUUUCCUGACUAUAACACAGAAGAAGCCUGCACAGAUGGGUUCACAGACAUACUCUUUAAUCCCAAGUGUGGCAACAGAUCUGGAUCUCCCCUCAAUAAUACGCUAAGGUUCCUUGCCUGCUCUUUAUUAAUGCUUGUUGUUGGGGUCCCAGCUGCAUUUCCCGAUUACUAAAAACUGUUUUGUCCUAAGAGGAUUCUCUCUGUUCAUAAAUUCAGAAAUUUCCUUCAUUUGUAUCUCAUAGCCUAGAAAAUCCAUUAAUUAUAUGCAUCUGUACAUUUGAAUGCUCUUUCUAGGAGUCAUGGCCACUGAAUACUUUGUCAAACUCUUCUGGAAGAAUUGCCACCCUUGAGCUCUACUUUGUGGGGAGAAAGAGAAGAUAGCAAAAUUAAAUUGUAACUCCUAUGCCCCAUGUGAGCAACAACUGUUUGAUACAUUAGUAAUUCAGGGAUGCAGGGAUAUUAGAAACUGCAAAACUUUCCCAUGAAACUUUUUUGAGGGUAGCUGUUGGUAUGGUAUACUUUUUCCUUAUAAAAUCUAGUCUGUAGGUAAGGUAAUGCAAAAUGGAGUCAUUGCCUACCUCUCUUGUAAAUUCCUUUUUUCCUUAUAGGGAAUCAAGCGUAUGUUUGUGUGUGUGUGGGCAAAGCACACAAAAUAUUGAUUGACAUCAAUAUUUUUUACAAUACCUGCUCUUCAUUAAGCUGUUAUUACUCGUAGCAGAUAGCUAUUCAUACAACAUGUUCAGUUAAUCAUUCAGUCAGCUCACUCACACACAGUUACCCAGUUGGAGCUGUAGCUAGGAAAACAACCCCAGCUGCUUACUCAGAAGUAGUUAGCUUCUCUGUAAGUGUUCAAGUCCCUCAGAAGGUCCUUUGCUUCACCAAGUAUACGUAUACUGCUGUAGUCUUCAUGUGCAUAUGGCUGCCACCCCCUCUUGGAUGUGGUCUGAAUUACACAACCUGUGGUUGAUAGUAGUGUAUGCUCAUGUCCUUGUACAGAUUCAGCAGAUUUUUGGUGCCGUGAGUUCAUCAGCUCUUGCAAAUUCAACAAAAGAUUCCUAGUUUCCAGAGCCUGUCGUUCCAUCACAAACUUUCAUACAAAAGUCUUCUGAGUUGUAUUGGUUUU